Molecule: unclassified non-coding RNA, 45 nt
Filed under: Mammarenavirus piritalense
Lineage: Riboviria; Orthornavirae; Negarnaviricota; Bunyaviricetes; Hareavirales; Arenaviridae
Description: 5' non-coding region (NCR)
Source: RNAcentral
CGCACCGUGGAUCCUAGGCAUAUACGUCUACGCCUAUUGGAGAUC